Long non-coding RNA from Aedes aegypti (yellow fever mosquito), 522 nucleotides. RefSeq lists it as uncharacterized. Lineage: Eukaryota; Metazoa; Arthropoda; Insecta; Diptera; Culicidae. The transcript has 2 exons. The record is from RefSeq and is a predicted model, not a curated record.
GAUAACGCAUUCUGCUCUCUUGAAAAAGUCACCGUCUGACAUAUUUUUUUACCGUGUGUAUUCCAUUCCCUUCUUACCCGUUUACAGCAGCCCUGACGAAAAGGUCUUUUUAUUUUACCUCUUUCAACGUUUCUUUCUGCUUGGCAUUUUGUGCGCCGUCAUUAAAUUUCCAUCUGUCGUCGGCUUCGGUGCUGUUGACUGUCGUACCAAUCUUGAAGAAAUUCAAAAUUAAUUUCAUCGAAUUAAAAUCUAAAAUUCAACUGUUUGACAUCGGAUCCGGUUUGACAUCUGUUCAACAAAUCAUAAUGCAUGAGGAUCGGCGUGCAUCUGUAGCAAAAAUGGAGUCUGAAAUGCCAGCGGUAGCCAUCAAACCUCCUUAGGUUGAUGGUACCGCUGGCUUUCGGAAAUAUGAUGACUACUUCUCGUGUAGAACUUUUAAGAUAAAGAUUUCCAAUUAUUUGGAGUGUUAAUGUAAGCCAUUUUAAUUUGUGUUUGUGCGAAAAUAAAUAUGUAACAAAUGUA